This 250-nucleotide ribosomal RNA is filed under the name uncultured bacterium. Its description in RNAcentral is "partial 16S ribosomal RNA". It matches the Rfam family "Bacterial small subunit ribosomal RNA", at positions 80 to 334 of the family's 1533-position model. The record is from RNAcentral.
CCAAAAGCUGGCGACCGGCGCACGGGUGAGUAACACGUAUCCAACCUGCCUCAUACUCGGGGAUAGCCUUUCGAAAGAAAGAUUAAUAUCCGAUAGCAUAUAUUUCCCGCAUGGGUUUAUAUUAAAGAAAUCGGUAUGAGAUGGGGAUGCGUUCCAUUAGUUUGUUGGGGGGGUAACGGCCCACCAAGACUACGAUGGAUAGGGGUUCUGAGAGGAAGGUCCCCCACAUUGGAACUGAGACACGGUCCAA